RNAcentral lists this non-coding RNA (45 nucleotides) under Trypanosoma brucei brucei. The record is from RNAcentral. Lineage: Eukaryota; Euglenozoa; Kinetoplastea; Trypanosomatida; Trypanosomatidae.
AAUCAUAAUACAGAACGAUGACAGUGAAGAGACUUAGAUUAAUGU